UUUACAUAGCUGCCGGCGGGCCCGAUGGCGGGCCGGCCGGGGCGGUUCGGUGACAUGGAAUCCCGUGAGAUUCGGGAACAGUCGCGCUGCUGUAUCUGGAAACGACCAUCCCUGCGCAAGCAGCCAAUCCGGGCGACCGGGUGAAGGCGGAUGGAAGGCAGGCGGGACGCAUUAAUGCCAAUUGGCGUGAUGUAUCCUGCCAAAAUCCAGGAGUCAGAAUACUUGUCCGGACCGCGCUCCUCCG
This 244-nucleotide non-coding RNA is filed under the name Verrucomicrobiota bacterium. The record is from RNAcentral. Lineage: Bacteria; Pseudomonadati; Verrucomicrobiota.